Molecule: ribosomal RNA, 513 nt
Filed under: uncultured bacterium
Lineage: Bacteria
Description: partial 16S ribosomal RNA
Rfam family: Bacterial small subunit ribosomal RNA
Source: RNAcentral
GACGAACGCUGGCGGCGUGCCUAAUACAUGCAAGUUGAGCGCUGAAGGUUGGUACUUGUACCGACUGGAUGAGCAGCGAACGGGUGAGUAACGCGUGGGGAAUCUGCCUUUGGGCGGGGGACAACGUUUGGAAACGAAUGCUAAUACCGCAUAAAAACUUUAAACACAAGUUUUAAGUUUGAAAGAUGCAAUUGCAUCACUCAAAGAUGAUCCCGCGUUGUAUUAGCUAGUUGGUGAGGUAAAGGCUCACCAAGGCGAUGAUACAUAGCCGACCUGAGAGGGUGAUCGGCCACAUUGGGACUGAGACACGGCCCAAACUCCUACGGGAGGCAGCAGUAGGGAAUCUUCGGCAAUGGACGAAAGUCUGACCAAGCAACGCCGCGUGAGUGAAGAAGGUUUUCGGAUCGUAAAACUCUGUUGGUAGAGAAGAACGUUGGUGAGAGUGGAAAGCUCAUCAAGUGACGGUAACUACCCAGAAAGGGACGGCUAACUACGUGCCAGCCGCCGCCGUAA